Molecule: ribosomal RNA, 318 nt
Filed under: uncultured bacterium
Lineage: Bacteria
Description: bacterial SSU rRNA
Rfam family: Bacterial small subunit ribosomal RNA
Source: RNAcentral
AUGUUAAAUAUCCCACGGGAUAGCACAGGGAUGGGCUUAUGACGCAUUAGCUAGCUGGUGAGGUAGAGGCUCACCAGGGCGACGAUGCGUAGCCGGCCUGAGAGGGUGAUCGGCCACACUGGGACUGAGACACGGCCCAGACUCCUACGGGAGACAGCAGUUAGGAAUAUUCGUCAAUGGGGGAAACCCUGAACGAGCAAUGCCGCGUGAAGGAAGAAGGUCCUCUGGAUUGUAAACUUCUGUUGUUAGGGAAAAACGACACGUAUAGGAAAUGAUACGUGAGUGAUGGUACCUUUCAAGAAAGCUCCGGCUAACUAC